UGCCAGCAGCCGCGGUAAUACGUAGGUCCCGAGCGUUGUCCGGAUUUAUUGGGCGUAAAGCGAGCGCAGGCGGUUUAAUAAGUCUGAAGUUAAAGGCAGUGGCUUAACCAUUGUUCGCUUUGGAAACUGUUAGACUUGAGUGCAGAAGGGGAGAGUGGAAUUCCAUGUGUAGCGGUGAAAUGCGUAGAUAUAUGGAGGAACACCGGUGGCGAAAGCGGCUCCCUGGUCUGUAACUGACGCUGAGGCUCGAAAGCGUGGGGAGCAAACAGGAUUAGAUA
This 278-nucleotide ribosomal RNA is filed under the name uncultured bacterium. RNAcentral describes it as "partial 16S ribosomal RNA". It matches the Rfam family "Bacterial small subunit ribosomal RNA", at positions 506 to 784 of the family's 1533-position model. The record is from RNAcentral.